GAGGAAAAGAAACCAACUGGGAUUACCUUAGUAACGGCGAGUGAAGCGGUAAAAGCUCAAAUUUGAAAUUUGGUACUUUCAGUGCCCGAGUUGUAAUUUGUAGAAUUUGUCUUUGAUUAGGUCCUUGUUUAUGUUCCUUGGAACAGGACGUCAUAGAGGGUGAGAAUCCCGUUUGGCGAGGAUACCUUUUCUCUGUAAGACUUUUUCGAAGAGUCGAGUUGUUUGGGAAUGCAGCUCAAAGUGGGUGGUAAAUUCCAUCUAAAGCUAAAUAUUGGCGAGAGACCGAUAGCGAACAAGUACAGUGAUGGAAAGAUGAAAAGAACUUUGAAAAGAGAGUGAAAAAGUACGUGAAAUUGUUGAAAGGGAAGGGCAUUUGAUCAGACAUGGUGUUUUUUGCAUGCACUCGCCUCUCGUGGGCUUGGGCCUCUCAAAAAUUUCACUGGGCCAACAUCAAUUCUGGCAGCAGGAUAAAUCAUUAAGAAUGUAGUUACUUCGGUAGUGUUAUAGCUUUUGGAAUACU
Molecule: ribosomal RNA, 520 nt
Filed under: Hanseniaspora uvarum
Lineage: Eukaryota; Fungi; Ascomycota; Saccharomycetes; Saccharomycodales; Saccharomycodaceae
Description: eukaryotic LSU rRNA
Rfam family: Eukaryotic large subunit ribosomal RNA
Source: RNAcentral